RNAcentral lists this ribosomal RNA (501 nucleotides) under uncultured bacterium. Its description in RNAcentral is "partial 16S ribosomal RNA". It matches the Rfam family "Bacterial small subunit ribosomal RNA", at positions 30 to 523 of the family's 1533-position model. The record is from RNAcentral.
AUUGAACGCUGGCGGCAGGCUUAACACAUGCAAGUCGAGCGGGGGAAGGUAGCUUGCUACUGGACCUAGCGGCGGACGGGUGAGUAAUGCUUAGGAAUCUGCCUAUUAGUGGGGGACAACAUCUCGAAAGGGAUGCUAAUACCGCAUACGUCCUACGGGAGAAAGCAGGGGAUCUUCGGACCUUGCGCUAAUAGGUGAGCCUAAGUCGGAUUAGCUAGUUGGUGGGGUAAAGGCCUACCAAGGCGACGAUCUGUAGCGGGUCUGAGAGGACGAUCCGCCACACUGGGACUGAGACACGGCCCAGACUCCUACGGGAGGCAGCAGUGGGGAAUAUUGGACAAUGGGGGGAACCCUGAUCCAGCCAUGCCGCGUGUGUGAAGAAGGCCUUAUGGUUGUAAAGCACUUUAAGCGAGGAGGAGGCUACUUUAGUUAAUACCUAGAGAUAGUGGACGUUACUCGCAGAAUAAGCACCGGCUAACUCUGUGCCAGCAGCCGCGGUAA